UGCUGUUCUGGGCAUCUGUGCUGACAGACAAACUACUCCUGAGCCUGGCGUUGGCUGGACCAUUGAUUUGGAGCAGAGUCAAGACCUCAGCAGACAGUCCUGGGUCAGGUUGUUUCCACCGGGAGUGGCAGUACUUGGCCUGCUGCAGCAGUGGCUCUGCUCUCUGACACCAGGAAUUUCUGCUCUCGCGUUUUCUUUCACAGACAAUUUGGCACUUCUCUCUCUUUAAUAUUAUGAAAUUCAGUAUUUCCACCAGGAGGUAAUGAAGGAAACAGCUUUGUCCCUGGAUUUUGAGACUGCUUGGAUCCUUUUGAUCCCCCCAAGAUGAGGGCCAUAAGGAGACACUGGCUUUUGUGUUCAUUGCUGGAUACAGCAUCACUUACUGAAAUCACCUGGAGAGCAAGCUGACAGUCUAGUAUGGAUAAGAUGUAGACCAACUCCUAAACCUGGUGAAGAUGGUGCAGGACAUCACAUAGCAUUUAAUGUAAAUGCUUUAAAAUGUGACUUCUCCUCCCAGAGUGUGCAAGCAGGGCUGAGUUAGUGCUGUUCAUUGUUGAAAAGCUUAGUCAAGGAGUCACCAACUAAAAACAACUUGGCAAAUUGUAUUGCUUGUGGAAAAAUACUUUGGCUUGUGCAGUGUUGUGAAUGUGAAAGGGGU
Rhea pennata is the source of this 658-nucleotide long non-coding RNA. RefSeq lists it as uncharacterized. NCBI's taxonomy places the organism in Eukaryota, Metazoa, Chordata, Aves, Rheiformes, Rheidae. The record is from RefSeq and is a predicted model, not a curated record. The transcript has 3 exons.